CAGGGGCAUGCGGCGUGAGGGGACCCGGGCCAGUGCCGGCUGCCCAAGGGGGUCUCUUAAGCCAAGGCUCGCCGAAGCCAGCCUCCCUGUCCCCUUAGUACCACCCGGACGCAGGGCUUACCCGGGAGGCAGCAACACAGGCAGCUCAGGAGCACCCAGUGGCCCCUGGUCCAGGGCCUCCCGCUCAUAGCUCCACACAGUCCUCGGCUGCAGCUGCGUGGCACAGAAGUGGCAGCGUGAGGAGCAGAGAGGGCGCCUGUCCCGGCCGCUGCCACCUCUCUCACAGGGCGGCUGUGACCACAUCCUGCAGCAGCGAUGCAUUCUCCCUCUGCUCUGGAGCUGGAA
Molecule: long non-coding RNA, 345 nt
Filed under: Heterocephalus glaber (naked mole-rat)
Lineage: Eukaryota; Metazoa; Chordata; Mammalia; Rodentia; Bathyergidae
Description: lncRNA (ENSHGLG00000039963.1)
Source: RNAcentral